GAGCCAUCUCAGACCAGUCUGACUCCUCACCCUUUCCAGAAGUGCAUCGCUGAGCUCACAUCUGCUGGCAAUGCUCCUGUAUUUGCUGUGGAAGUCUGGCCCUGUCUAACGUCCCUGCCCAUCUGCCUCUACACUACCUCGGACGCCUGCUCCAGAAUGACUGAAGCAGUGGUGAGCAGGCUCACCCCAGGAUUCCACCCGGCCCACCCCAGGCCACAGACCCAGAAGAAGUGCAUCGCUGAGCUCACAUCUGCUGGCAAUGCUCCUGUAUUUGCUGUGGAAGUCUGGCCCUGUCUAACGUCCCUGCCCAUCUGCCUCUACACUACCUCGGACGCCUGCUCCAGAAUGACUG
This 352-nucleotide long non-coding RNA is filed under the name Equus caballus (horse). Its description in RNAcentral is "lncRNA (ENSECAG00000044766.1)". Lineage: Eukaryota; Metazoa; Chordata; Mammalia; Perissodactyla; Equidae. The record is from RNAcentral.